Molecule: long non-coding RNA, 360 nt
Filed under: Corvus moneduloides (New Caledonian crow)
Lineage: Eukaryota; Metazoa; Chordata; Aves; Passeriformes; Corvidae
Description: lncRNA (ENSCMUG00000017611.1)
Source: RNAcentral
GUGUCUCAGAGCUUUUUCAGUCUGUUCACCUGAAAAGGGGGCAAAAGAAACCAAAGGAAAGGAGAAACCUACCUAAUACCAAGGCAGGAAAGCAGAAUAAUAUGCAAAACCAAGAUGAAACAUGUUUCAGGUCUACAUUACAAUUCAGACAGAAAUUUAAAUCAGCUGAAGACACCAGAAUAAAAUGCUCUCUUCUUUGCUUUGCAUUCCCAACUGUAGCCUCACAGGAAAUUCAGUCCCUGGCAAGCUUCAGCUCCAGACAGGAAACAUUCUGAGGAAUUUCUUCCAUACAGGUACUAUAUUUGCUUGGAGGGUUAACAUGUUGGAGAUAUUUACCAUGGCUGGAUUUAACUAGCAGGA